UACUUGUUUUAAGAAUGCAAAAGCAUUUUUUUUUUUUUUUAAAGUUGCAAACUGGAAUACGUGAACUAAUUUAAGAUUUAAUUAAAAUUCUUCGAUGAUCGAUAACGGUUUUAAUUCAAAGUCUUUAAAUGAAUAUCAACUUUAGGAACCAAUUUUUUUAUUCAAUUCGAAACCCAUGACCUGCGUUAAACUUCAGAGUUUGUCGUAUGGAGUACAAAUACGCUCAUAUAUUGAAGAACAGGUUUUGAUGAUGUUGAAAGAAGAAGCAGCUAUCAGAAUACCAUCACGAAGUCAAAGAGGUGUACUGUUCCAUUGUUUACACUGUACCUUGACCUUUAAGAUUGAGAAAAGUGUCCUUGUCUUCUUGUUUAUAAAUAAACUCGUCAACUUCCUGUGCAGUGAACGUGAUCGCUCAAACUGCUUUCGAACCUAGUCGCUUCCGACUUCAGAUUGUCAAUAGCAGUUUAAAACCAUGCUCAUUCAACCAACGCUGUUGUUAUCGGAAGAUUUUAUUGUAUUUACAAAACGAGUGCUAAAAAAAAUUUGAACCGAAAUUGCCAUCAAAAAAUGAUUUGUUACCAUUUCGGCAGAUGGCGCUACUUUCAUGGCGAUAUGUUUAAAUUAAUUUCG
This 630-nucleotide long non-coding RNA is filed under the name Androctonus crassicauda. The record is from RNAcentral. Lineage: Eukaryota; Metazoa; Arthropoda; Arachnida; Scorpiones; Buthidae.